RNAcentral lists this ribosomal RNA (1899 nucleotides) under Rhizamoeba saxonica. RNAcentral describes it as "SSU rRNA". It matches the Rfam family "Eukaryotic small subunit ribosomal RNA". Lineage: Eukaryota; Tubulinea; Elardia; Leptomyxida; Flabellulidae. The record is from RNAcentral.
UACCUGGUUGUCCUGCCAGUAGUCAUAUGCUUGUCUAAAAGAUUAAGCCAUGCAUGUCUAAGUAUAAACGUCUUUAUACGUGAAACUGCGAACGGCUCAUUAUAUCAGUUAUAGUUUACUUGAUCGUAUCUCCUACUUGGAUAACCGUAGUAACUCUAGAGCUAAUACAUGCAAAAAAUCCUGACUACGCUUGUCGUAGAAUAGGAUGAAUUUAUUAGAUUACCAACCAACGCGAGAUAAAAAGCCCUUCGUGGAAACAUGCAAGGGUCUCGGCAAAUGGAUGAUUCAUAAUAACUAAUCGAAUCGCAGAGGCUCACGCCGGCGAUGAUACAUACAAAUUUCUGCCCUAUCAACUGUCGAUGGUAGUAUAGAGGACUACCAUGGUGGUAACGGGUAACGGGGAAUUAGGGUUCGAUUCCGGAGAGGGGGCCUGAGAAAUGGCCACCACUUCCAAGGAAGGCAGCAGGCGCGCAAAUUACCCAAUCCUGAUUCGGGGAGGUAGUGACAAGAAAUACCGGUACAGUGCCCAAAGGGUACUGGGAUUGGAAUGAGUACAAUUUAAAAUCAUUAACGAUCAACAAUUGGAGGGCAAGUCUGGUGCCAGCAGCCGCGGUAAUUCCAGCUCCAAUAGUGUAUAUUAAAGUUGUUGCAGUUAAAAAGCUCGUAGUUGGAUUUCGGAAUGCUGUAGAUCAAGGUCCAUCGUUAUGAUGCUAGUACCGGAUCUACGCUUCCUUCUUUUCGAACACGUGCCGUUUGUCCUCCAGUUAGGACGAUCGGAAUAACACGUCUCGGAUCAUUUACUUUGAAAAAAUUAGAGUGUUCAAAGCAGGCGUAAUAUUGGCCUUGAAUACAUUAGCAUGGGAUAAUGGAAAAGGACUUUGGUCUUAUUUUCGUUGGUUUCUGAGGCUGAGGUAAUGAUUAAUAGGGACAGUUGGGGUCACCAGUAUUUAAUUGUCAGAGGUGAAAUUCUAAGAUUUAUUAAAGACUAACUACUGCGAAAGCAUUUGACAAGGAUGUUUUCAUUAAUCAAGAACGAAAGUUGGGGGAUCGAAGAUGAUCAGAUACCGUCGUAGUCUCAACCAUAAACUAUGCCGACCAAGGAUCCGAAGCCUGUUAAGCAUGGAUGACUCUUCGGGCACUUUGUGAGAAAUCAUAAGUAUUUGGGUUCCGGGGGGAGUAUGGUCGCAAGGCUGAAACUUAAAGGAAUUGACGGAAGGGCACCACAAGGAGUGGAACCUGCGGCUUAAUUUGACUCAACACGGGGAAACUUACCAGGUCCAGACACAGUGAGGAUUGACAGAUUGAUAGCUUUUUCUUGAUUCUGUGAGUGGUGGUGCAUGGCCGUUUUUAGUUGGUGGAGUGAUUUGUCUGGUUAAUUCCGUUAACGAACGAGACCUUAACCUAUUAAAUAGUUACAUGAACCCUGAUCCCUCCAAGUGGGGGGUCUUUUGUUCAUGGUCAUACUUCUUAGAGGGACUCUUCGCUAAGAGAGCGAUUGGGAAGUUUGAGGCAAAAACAGGUCUGUGAUGCCCUUAGAUGUUCUGGGCUGCACGCGCGUUACACUGAUACGUUCAACGAGUUUUGUUUUCCUUAUCCGAUGGGAUUGGGUAAUCUUUUGAAUGCGUAUCGUGCUGGGGAUAGAUCAUUGCAAUUAUUGGUCUUGAACGAGGAAUUCCUAGUAAGCGUGGUUCAUCAAACCGCGCUGAUUGCGUCCCUGCCCUUUGUACACACCGCCCGUCGCUCAUACCGAUGAAUGGUCCGGCGAGGAUUCAGGAUGGAGGUUGAUUUUGGGCCUCGUAAGAGGUACCCAUGCUUCUCUCCAGAAUCUAUUCAAACCUUGCCAUUUAGAGGAAUGAGAAGUCGUAACAAGGUUUCCGUAGUGAACCUGCAGAAGGAUCA